This 478-nucleotide ribosomal RNA is filed under the name uncultured Planctomycetales bacterium. Its description in RNAcentral is "bacterial SSU rRNA". It matches the Rfam family "Bacterial small subunit ribosomal RNA", at positions 364 to 832 of the family's 1533-position model. The record is from RNAcentral. Lineage: Bacteria; Pseudomonadati; Planctomycetota; Planctomycetia; Planctomycetales.
UUUCGCAAUGCCCGAAAGGGUGACGAAGCGACGCCGCGUGUGGGAAGAAGGCCUUCGGGUUGUAAACCACUGUCGGGAGUUAGGAAAUGCAGGUGCGUUAAUAGCGCACUUGCUUGACUAAGGCUCCAGAGGAAGCCACGGCUAACUCUGUGCCAGCAGCCGCGGUAAUACAGAGGCGGCAAGCGUUGUUCGGAAUUAUUGGGCGUAAAGAGCACGUAGGCGGCCUUGCAAGUCAGUUGCGAAAGCCUUCCGCUUAACGGAAGAACGGCAUCUGAUACUACAGGGCUUGAGUACGGGAGGGGAGAGUGGAACUUCUGGUGGAGCGGUGAAAUGCGUAGAUAUCAGAAGGAACGCCGGCGGCGAAAGCGACUCUCUGGUCCGAAACUGACGCUGAGUGUGCGAAAGCUAGGGGAGCAAACGGGAUUAGAUACCCCGGUAGUCCUAGCCGUAAACGAUGGGCACUAAGUAGAGGGGUUUU